UACAGAGGUCCCAAGCGUUGUUCGGAUUCACUGGGCGUAAAGGGUGCGUAGGUGGCCUGGUAAGUUUGAUGUGAAAGCCCGCAGCUUAACUGCGGAAUGGCAUUGAAUACUAUCAGGCUCGAGGGUUGGAGGGGAGACUGGAAUUCUCGGUGUAGCAGUGAAAUGCGUAGAUAUCGAGAGGAACACCGGUGGCGAAGGCGAGUCUCUGGACAACCCCUGACACUGAGGCACGAAAGCUAGGGGAGCAAACAGG
This 253-nucleotide ribosomal RNA is filed under the name Deltaproteobacteria bacterium. RNAcentral describes it as "partial 16S ribosomal RNA". It matches the Rfam family "Bacterial small subunit ribosomal RNA", at positions 524 to 776 of the family's 1533-position model. Lineage: Bacteria; Pseudomonadati; Myxococcota; Myxococcia. RNAcentral also lists the same sequence under 1 other name. The record is from RNAcentral.